AUUGAACGCUGGCGGCAGGCCUAACACAUGCAAGUCGAGCGGAUGAAGGGAGCUUGCUCCUGGAUUCAGCGGCGGACGGGUGAGUAAUGCCUAGGAAUCUGCCUGGUAGUGGGGGAUAACGUCCGGAAACGGGCGCUAAUACCGCAUACGUCCUGAGGGAGAAAGUGGGGGAUCUUCGGACCUCACGCUAUCAGAUGAGCCUAGGUCGGAUUAGCUAGUUGGUGGGGUAAAGGCCUACCAAGGCGACGAUCCGUAACUGGUCUGAGAGGAUGAUCAGUCACACUGGAACUGAGACACGGUCCAGACUCCUACGGGAGGCAGCAGUGGGGAAUAUUGGACAAUGGGCGAAAGCCUGAUCCAGCCAUGCCGCGUGUGUGAAGAAGGUCUUCGGAUUGUAAAGCACUUUAAGUUAGGAGGAAGGGCAGUAAGUUAAUACCUUGCUGUUUUGACGUUACCAACAGAAUAAGCACCGGCUAACUUCGU
This 483-nucleotide ribosomal RNA is filed under the name uncultured bacterium. RNAcentral's name for it is "partial 16S ribosomal RNA". It matches the Rfam family "Bacterial small subunit ribosomal RNA", at positions 30 to 506 of the family's 1533-position model. The record is from RNAcentral.